ACUCCUACGGGAGGCAGCAGUGGGGAAUUUUGGACAAUGGGGGCAACCCUGAUCCAGCCAUGCCGCGUGCGGGAAGAAGGCCUUCGGGUUGUAAACCGCUUUUAGCCGGGACGAAAGCGCCACGGAUAACACCCGUGGCGGUUGACGGUACCGGCGGAAUAAGCACCGGCUAACUACGUGCCAGCAGCCGCGGUAAUACGUAGGGUGCGAGCGUUAAUCGGAAUUACUGGGCGUAAAGCGUGCGCAGGCGGUUCGUUGUGUCGGUGGUGAAAGCCCCGGGCUUAACCUGGGAAUGGCCGUCGAAACUGGCGAACUGGAGUGUGGCAGAGGGGGGUGGAAUUCCGCGUGUAGCAGUGAAAUGCGUAGAGAUGCGGAGGAACACCGAUGGCGAAGGCAGCCCCCUGGGCUGACACUGACGCUCAGGCACGAAAGCGUGGGGAGCAAACAGGAUUAGAUACCCUGGUAGUCCACGCCCUAAACGAUGUCGACUGGGUGUUGGGGAAGCGAUUUCCCAGUACCGUAGCUAACGCGUGAAGUCGACCGCCUGGGGAGUACGGCCGCAAGGUUAAAACUCAAAGGAAUUGACGG
Molecule: ribosomal RNA, 588 nt
Filed under: uncultured beta proteobacterium
Lineage: Bacteria; Pseudomonadati; Pseudomonadota; Betaproteobacteria
Description: bacterial SSU rRNA
Rfam family: Bacterial small subunit ribosomal RNA
Source: RNAcentral